Molecule: ribosomal RNA, 429 nt
Filed under: Gemmatimonadota bacterium
Lineage: Bacteria; Pseudomonadati; Gemmatimonadota
Description: Gemmatimonadetes bacterium partial 16S ribosomal RNA
Rfam family: Bacterial small subunit ribosomal RNA
Source: RNAcentral
AAGGGAAUCUUCGGCAAUGGACGAAAGUCUGACCGAGCAACGCCGCGUGAGUGAAGAAGGUUUUCGGAUCGUAAAACUCUGUUGUUAGAGAAGAACAAGGACGUUAGUAACUGAACGUCCCCUGACGGCAUCUAACCAGAAAGCAACCGCUAACUACGUGCGAGCAGACGCGGUAAUACGUAGGUGGCAAGCGUUGUCCGGAUUUAUUGGGCGUAAAGCGAGCGCAGGCGGUUUCUUAUGUCUGAUGUGAAAGCCCCCGGCUCAACCGGGGAGGGUCAUUGGAAACUGGGAGACUUGAGUGCAGAAGAGAGGAGUGGAAUUCCAUGUGUAGCGGUGAAAUGCGUAGAUAUAUGGAGGAACACCAGUGGCGAAGGCGGCUCUCUGGUCUGUAACUGACGCUGAGGCUCGAAAGCGUGGGGAGCAAACAGG